This 274-nucleotide ribosomal RNA is filed under the name uncultured bacterium. RNAcentral's name for it is "partial 16S ribosomal RNA". It matches the Rfam family "Archaeal small subunit ribosomal RNA", at positions 473 to 747 of the family's 1478-position model. The record is from RNAcentral.
AAACCAGCACCUCAAGUGGUCAGGAUGAUUAUUGGGCCUAAAGCAUCCGUAGCCGGCUCUGUAAGUUUUCGGUUAAAUCUGUACGCUCAACGUACAGGCUGCCGGAAAUACUGCAGGGCUAGGGAGUGGGAGAGGUAGACGGUACUCGGGAGGAAGGGGUAAAAUCCUUUGAUCUCUCGAUGACCACCUGUGGCGAAGGCGGUCUACCAGAACACGUCCGACGGUGAGGGAUGAAAGCUGGGGGAGCAAACCGGAUUAGAUACCCGGGUAGUCC